RNAcentral lists this ribosomal RNA (433 nucleotides) under uncultured bacterium. RNAcentral describes it as "partial 16S ribosomal RNA". It matches the Rfam family "Bacterial small subunit ribosomal RNA", at positions 29 to 507 of the family's 1533-position model. The record is from RNAcentral.
AGCGAACGCUGGCGGCAGGCCUAACACAUGCAAGUCGAACGAACUCUUCGGAGUUAGUGGCGGACGGGUGAGUAACACGUGGGAACGUGCCUUUUUGUUCGGAAUAACUCAGGGAAACUUGUGCUAAUACCGAAUGUGCCCUUCGGGGGAAAGAUUUAUCGCCAUUGGAUCGGCCCGCGUCUGAUUAGCUAGUUGGUGAGGUAACGGCUCACCAAGGCGACGAUCAGUAGCUGGUCUGAGAGGAUGACCAGCCACACUGGGACUGAGACACGGCCCAGACUCCUACGGGAGGCAGCAGUGGGGAAUAUUGCGCAAUGGGCGAAAGCCUGACGCAGCCAUGCCGCGUGAAUGAUGAAGGUCUUAGGAUUGUAAAAUUCUUUCACCGGGGACGAUAAUGACGGUACCCGGAGAAGAAGCCCCGGCUAACUUCGUG